RNAcentral lists this unclassified non-coding RNA (309 nucleotides) under Basidiomycota sp. RNAcentral's name for it is "partial contains small subunit ribosomal RNA, internal transcribed spacer 1, and 5.8S ribosomal RNA". The stretch from base 1 to 47 matches the Rfam family "Eukaryotic small subunit ribosomal RNA", at positions 1785 to 1831 of the family's 1831-position model. The record is from RNAcentral. Lineage: Eukaryota; Fungi; Basidiomycota.
AAAGUCGUAACAAGGUCUCCGUAGGUGAACCUGCGGAGGGAUCAUUAACACGUAUGUACACUGGUACCGGUCUUAAAACAGCCGCCGCUAUGUACACGUUUCCAUACCUAACUACCAAUACCGUGAACUAUGUAACUACUUAUUUUUUUUACAAUUCUUUUUUGUAACAACAAACCCUUUUCCAACUUCUAUUUUACUUUUUUUUUGUUAUACAGCAGUCUGUCUGUCAUUUUUUGACCGUCCUUCAGCUGUAUUCUAAAUAUAAAAAAACAUAAAGCACAACUCUUAGCAACGGAUAUCUUGGUUCUC